This 373-nucleotide ribosomal RNA is filed under the name uncultured Methanosaeta sp. Its description in RNAcentral is "bacterial SSU rRNA". It matches the Rfam family "Archaeal small subunit ribosomal RNA", at positions 966 to 1338 of the family's 1478-position model. Lineage: Archaea; Methanobacteriati; Methanobacteriota; Methanomicrobia; Methanotrichales; Methanotrichaceae. The record is from RNAcentral.
CCUUACCCGAUUAGCUGAGAGGUGGUGCAUGGCCGUCGUCAGUUCGUACUGUGAAGCAUCCUGUUAAGUCAGGCAACGAGCGAGACCCACGUCCACAGUUGCCAGCAUACCCUCCGGGGUGAUGGGUACACUGUGGAGACCGCCGCUGCUAAAGCGGAGGAAGGAGUGGGCAACGGUAGGUCAGUAUGCCCCGAAUCUCCCGGGCUACACGCGGGCUACAAUGGUUGGUACAAUGGGCAUCUACCCCGAAAGGGGAAGGAAAUCUCUUAAAGCCAAUCGUAGUUCGGAUUGAGGGCUGCAACUCGCCCUCAUGAAGCUGGAAUCCGUAGUAAUCGCGUUUCAACAGAACGCGGUGAAUACGUCCCUGCUCCUU